UAGAGUUUGAUCCUGGCUCAGAUUGAACGCUGGCGGUAUGCUUAACACAUGCAAGUCGAACGGAAACGAUGUUAGCUUGCUAACAGGCGUCGAGUGGCGGACGGGUGAGUAACGCGUAGGAAUCUACCAAGUAGUGGGGGAUAGCCCGGAGAAAUCCGGAUUAAUACCGCAUAAUCUCUACGGAGUAAAGAGGGCCUCUAUUUAUAAGCUUUCGCUAUUUGAUGAGCCUGCGUAAGAUUAGCUUGUUGGUGAGGUAAAAGCUCACCAAGGCAACGAUCUUUAGCUGGUCUGAGAGGAUGAUCAGCCACACUGGGACUGAGACACGGCCCAGACUCCUACGGGAGGCAGCAGUGGGGAAUAUUGGACAAUGGGCGCAAGCCUGAUCCAGCAAUACCGCGUGUGUGAAGAAGGCCUGAGGGUUGUAAAGCACUUUCAAUUGUGAAGAAAAGCUAAAGAUUAAUACU
RNAcentral lists this ribosomal RNA (464 nucleotides) under uncultured marine bacterium. RNAcentral's name for it is "bacterial SSU rRNA". It matches the Rfam family "Bacterial small subunit ribosomal RNA", at positions 1 to 465 of the family's 1533-position model. The record is from RNAcentral.